This is a non-coding RNA of Lupinus angustifolius (narrow-leaved blue lupine), 97 nucleotides long. The record is from Rfam. NCBI's taxonomy places the organism in Eukaryota, Viridiplantae, Streptophyta, Magnoliopsida, Fabales, Fabaceae.
CAAAGCCGUGUGCAAUGAAAAAUGCAAGUACGGUUAGGGAGAGAUUUUUUCUUGUUUUACUGUUGAAUCUGAUUAACAGAUAAAUUUUCUACUCCAU